This 571-nucleotide long non-coding RNA is filed under the name Orussus abietinus. RNAcentral's name for it is "uncharacterized LOC105704151, transcript variant X2". Lineage: Eukaryota; Metazoa; Arthropoda; Insecta; Hymenoptera; Orussidae. The record is from RNAcentral.
UGCCUCGAGUGACGCAGGUCUUCGCGUCCUUCUUUCGCGACUAUGCAACGUUUUUUUUCUUUUCUCUUCAAACGGCGAAUGACCACUUGGCGCGAAUUGACGAUCCUCGAUAUCUUGGACUGGUUAGCUAUUCGCAGGAGCAGGAACGUGACUCGUGAGAAAUGUCCAUAGCUAACGUGACGUAACGGGGGCUAUCGUUCUCGAAACUUCGGCAGGUCCUAGAGCUCUAAACGCGGCCCUGCUAAUUUUUGGGACGCCGCAGGGAAAUUUCUCGGAAUUUCUACAAUUAGGACUUUGAGGUAGCGAGAGGCGGUUGGGUCAGUUGCUCACCUUUCUUGCGAGGAUUUCUCCGAGGUUCUUCAAGGUCGAAAUCACUCUCUCCGUUUGGCAGCACCUUGACGACUGGGAAAAUGAGGGACCCCCUCCUACAGUUUACCAAAAGUUAACCCGAGCGGUACUUUCCCUUCUACGAAAUCGGACAUCUGACUUUUUCACCCGGAAAAAGAAUUCACGGUCAUCACAAGAAAUUUCACUUGCCGCAACAACUGGGAAUACUUGUUAUAUUGAGAAG